This 687-nucleotide long non-coding RNA is filed under the name Triticum aestivum (bread wheat). RNAcentral describes it as "long non-coding RNA (TAES_LNC022520)". Lineage: Eukaryota; Viridiplantae; Streptophyta; Magnoliopsida; Poales; Poaceae. The record is from RNAcentral.
AAAUUGCCAUGUUUUUAUCACAUGUUUAGAUCAGAGAAAAUAACCAUUUUACUUUCCAUGAAUCACCAUACUUGUUGCCGACAAAUUUGCCAUGAAUACAGUCAGCCCCGUGUAAAAGUACAAUCAGGUGAUUAGCAAGCCCACCCUCUCAUCUGUGCGCUCCUUAUUGAUCCGAUGGCCCACGAGUUGAGUUUCCAGAUUUUCACUGAAUCAGUGUUUUCGCAUGAUCCAUGUCCCUCUGCUGGUUUCGAGUCACCCUUUAGAAGAUGCAUCGGCGCAGCCUCUCCAGGAUCUCGCUGCACCUCCGUCCCCUGCCAUGCAUCAACUUCCUCUUAGCCCUGCACAGGUAAGCAAUAUAGUACGCGGCAUCUGCUUCAUGUACUGAUUGAACCUAUAUGGCAUCACAGUCUUAUUGCCACAACAUCCUCAUAGCCCUCCACCUGAUGGUAGAACAAGCACUACCAGAAUCAUGGUAACCCUCAUAUGUGCCUCGACAGAGUGGAGGCUAGGAAAAGAGGGUCCAUGACAUGCUGUCCAUGUCGAGGGUGAACUUCACACAAAAAUUGCAUAACCAAAACAUCGCUAGCUAGCGACAGGCACACAAGAAAGAGGUCGAGACAAGGAACUGUACCUUUUGUGAAGGAAGCUUGCUCAAACUCAGCCUUCUCGUUGUUAAAUCUUUCACUC